Molecule: ribosomal RNA, 484 nt
Filed under: uncultured bacterium
Lineage: Bacteria
Description: bacterial SSU rRNA
Rfam family: Bacterial small subunit ribosomal RNA
Source: RNAcentral
CUACGUGCCAGCAGCCGCGGUAAUACGGAAGGUCCAGGCGUUAUCCGGAUUUAUUGGGUUUAAAGGGAGCGUAGGCUGGAGAUUAAGUGUGUUGUGAAAUGUAGACGCUCAACGUCUGAAUUGCAGCGCAUACUGGUUUCCUUGAGUACGCACAACGUUGGCGGAAUUCGUCGUGUAGCGGUGAAAUGCUUAGAUAUGACGAAGAACUCCGAUUGCGAAGGCAGCUGACGGGAGCGCAACUGACGCUGAAGCUCGAAGGUGCGGGUAUCGAACAGGAUUAGAUACCCUGGUAGUCCGCACAGUAAACGAUGGAUGCCCGUUGUUAGUUCACUUUAGAAUUAGCGACCAAGCGAAAGCAUUAAGCAUCCCACCUGGGGAGUACGCCGGCAACGGUGAAACUCAAAGGAAUUGACGGGGGCCCGCACAAGCGGAGGAACAUGUGGUUUAAUUCGAUGAUACGCGAGGAACCUUACCCGGGCUUGAA